CGCGUGCUUACCAUGCAAGUCGAACGAUGAUGCCUAGCUUGCUAGGUGGAUUAGUGGCGAACGGGUGAGUAACACGUGAGUAACCUGCCCCUGACUCUGGGAUAAGCCUGAGAAAUUGGGUCUAAUACUGGAUAUGAACAUUUACCGCAUGGUGGGUGUUGGAAAGAUUUUUUGGUUGGGGAUGGACUCGCGGCCUAUCAGCUUGUUGGUGAGGUAGUGGCUCACCAAGGCGACGACGGGUAGCCGGCCUGAGAGGGUGACCGGCCACACUGGGACUGAGACACGGCCCAGACUCCUACGGGAGGCAGCAGUGGGGAAUAUUGCACAAUGGGCGAAAGCCUGAUGCAGCGACGCCGCGUGAGGGAUGACGGCCUUCGGGUUGUAAACCUCUUUCAGUAAGGAAGAAGCGAAAGUGACGGUACUUGCAGAAGAAGCGCCGGCUAACUACGUGCCAGCAGCCGCGGUAAUACGUAGGGCGCGAGCGUUAUCCGGAAUUAUUGGGCGUAAAGAGCUCGUAGGCGGUUUGUCGCGUCUGCCGUGAAAGUCCGGGGCUUAACUCCGGAUCUGCGGUGGGUACGGGCAGGCUAGAGUGCAGUAGGGGAGACUGGAAUUCCUGGUGUAGCGGUGAAAUGCGCAGAUAUCAGGAGGAACACCGAUGGCGAAGGCAGGUCUCUGGGCUGUAACUGACGCUGAGGAGCGAAAGCAUGGGUAGCGAACAGGAUUAGAUACCCUGGUAGUCCAUGCCGUAAACGUUGGGCACUAGGUGUGGGGGACAUUCCACGUUUUCCGCGCCGUAGCUAACGCAUUAAGUGCCCCGCCUGGGGAGUACGGCCGCAAGGCUAAAACUCAAAGGAAUUGACGGGGGCCCGCACAAGCGGCGGAGCAUGCGGAUUAAUUCGAUGCAACGCGA
This 910-nucleotide ribosomal RNA is filed under the name Neomicrococcus lactis. RNAcentral describes it as "bacterial SSU rRNA". It matches the Rfam family "Bacterial small subunit ribosomal RNA", at positions 43 to 964 of the family's 1533-position model. Lineage: Bacteria; Bacillati; Actinomycetota; Actinomycetes; Micrococcales; Micrococcaceae. The record is from RNAcentral.